UGAAUACGAGACGCUAAGGCGUCGAAGUAGUGUAUGUCAUACUUCCAAGAAAAGCUUGCACUGUCAUAGAUAAAAAACGCCUGUACCAUAACCGACACAGGUGGGUAGGUAGAGUAUACUAAGGGGCGCGAGAUAACUCUCUCUAAGGAACUCGGCAAAAUAACUCCGUAACUUCGGGAGAAGGAGUGCCUUAUUCGUAAGGUUGCAAUAACAAGAUCCAAGCAACUGUUUAUCAAAAACACAGGUCUCCGCUAAGUCGUAAGACGAUGUAUGGGGGCUGACGCCUGCCCAGUGCCAGAAGGUUAAAGAAGUUGGUUAGCAAUUGCGAAGCUGAUAACUGAAGCCCUGGUGAACGGCGGCCGUAACAAUAACGGUCCUAAGGUAGCGAAAUUCCUUGUCGGGUAAGUUCCGACCCGCACGAAAGGCGUAAUGAUUUGGAUACUGUCUCGGAGAGGGGCUCGGUGAAAUAGACUUGUCUGUGAAGAUGCGGACUACCUGCACCAGGACAGAAAGACCCUAUGAAGCUUUACUGUAACUUGAAAUUGAAAUUGGACUUUAUUCGCGCAGUAUAGGUGGGAGGCGUUGAUUAUAAUCUUGUGGGAUUAUUGGAGCCAUCAGUGAGAUACCACUCUUGUAAUGUUAGAUUUCUAACUUUGAAUCAUUAUCUGGUCAAAGAACAGUUUCAGGCGGGCAGUUUGACUGGGGCGGUCGCCUCCUAAACGGUAACGGAGGCGUACAAAGGUUUCCUCUGAACGGUUAGAAAUCGUAUCUAGAGUGUAAAGGCAUAAGGAAGCUUGACUGUGAGACCUACAAGUCGAGCAGGGACGAAAGUCGGUCUUAGUGAUCUGACGGUACUGAGUGGAAAGGCCGUCACUCAACGGAUAAAAGUUACUCUAGGAUAACAGGCUGAUCUCCCCCAAGAGUUCACAUCGACGGGGAGGUUUGGCACCUUGAUGUCGGCUCAUCGCAUCCUGGGGCGGUAGUACGUCCCAAGGGUUGGGCUGUUCGCCCAUGAAAGCGGUACGCGAGCUGGGUUCAGAACGUCGUGAGACAGUUCGGUCCAUAUCCGGUGUAGGCGUUAGAAUAUUGAGAGGAGCCUUCUUUAGUACGAGAGGACCGAGAAGGACAUACCUCUGGUGUACCAGUUAUCGUGCCAACGGUAAACGCUGGGUAGCUAUGUAUGGAGUGGAUAACCGCUGAAAGCAUCUAAGUGGGAAGCCCACCUCAAGAUAAGUAUUCGC
RNAcentral lists this ribosomal RNA (1241 nucleotides) under metagenome. Its description in RNAcentral is "bacterial LSU rRNA". It matches the Rfam family "Bacterial large subunit ribosomal RNA", at positions 1564 to 2815 of the family's 2925-position model. The record is from RNAcentral.